This 465-nucleotide ribosomal RNA is filed under the name Vreelandella stevensii. RNAcentral's name for it is "partial 16S ribosomal RNA". It matches the Rfam family "Bacterial small subunit ribosomal RNA", at positions 338 to 795 of the family's 1533-position model. The record is from RNAcentral. Lineage: Bacteria; Pseudomonadati; Pseudomonadota; Gammaproteobacteria; Oceanospirillales; Halomonadaceae.
CCUACGGGUGGCAGCAGUGGGGAAUAUUGGACAAUGGGCGAAAGCCUGAUCCAGCCAUGCCGCGUGUGUGAAGAAGGCCUUCGGGUUGUAAAGCACUUUCAGUGGGGAAGAAAGCCUUGGGGCUAAUACCCUCGAGGAAGGACAUCACCCACAGAAGAAGCACCGGCUAACUCCGUGCCAGCAGCCGCGGUAAUACGGAGGGUGCGAGCGUUAAUCGGAAUUACUGGGCGUAAAGCGCGCGUAGGCGGUCUGAUAAGCCGGUUGUGAAAGCCCCGGGCUCAACCUGGGAACGGCAUCCGGAACUGUCAGGCUAGGGUGCAGGAGAGGAAGGUAGAAUUCCCGGUGUAGCGGUGAAAUGCGUAGAGAUCGGGAGGAAUACCAGUGGCGAAGGCGGCCUUCUGGACUGACACUGACGCUGAGGUGCGAAAGCGUGGGUAGCAAACAGGAUUAGAUACCCGGGUAGUC